UCCGACUUAGAGGUCGGCAGUCCCGUUAGAGUGCCCAACUUAAUGCUGGCAACAUAGAACGAGGGUUGCGCUCGUUGCGGGACUUAACCCAACAUCUCACGACACGAGCUGACGACAACCAUGCACCACCUGUAUACCGACCUUGCGGGGCGACUAUUUCUAGCCGUUUCCGGUAUAUGUCAAGCCUUGGUAAGGUUCUUCGCGUUGCAUCGAAUUAAUCCGCAUGCUCCGCCGCUUGUGCGGGCCCCCGUCAAUUCCUUUGAGUUUCAGUCUUGCGACCGUACUCCCCAGGCGGAGUGCUUAAUGUGUUGACUUCGGCACAGCAGGGGUCGAUACCCGCUACACCAAGCACUCAUCGUUUACGGCGUGGACUAC
Molecule: unclassified non-coding RNA, 375 nt
Filed under: uncultured bacterium
Lineage: Bacteria
Description: contains 16S-23S intergenic spacer region
Source: RNAcentral